This 331-nucleotide ribosomal RNA is filed under the name uncultured eukaryote. RNAcentral describes it as "partial 18S ribosomal RNA". It matches the Rfam family "Eukaryotic small subunit ribosomal RNA", at positions 592 to 975 of the family's 1831-position model. The record is from RNAcentral.
CAAUAGCGUAUAUUAAAGUUGUUGCAGUUAAAAAGCUCGUAGUUGAAUUUCGGGUCCCCGCGCUCGGCGCUUCGUUGUGCCGUCGUGGUGUCCCUCCUCGCCGUCAGGCGUCCUUUACUGUGAAAAAAUUAGAGUGUUCAAAGCAGGCAAUCGCUUGAAUACAUUAGCAUGGAAUAAUAAGAUAGGAUCUUGUCUAUUUUGUUGGUUGCGGACAAUGAUAAUGAUUAAUAGGGAUAGUUGGGGGUGUCCGUAUUGAGCUGUCAGAGGUGAAAUUCUUGGAUUUGCUCAAGACGAACUACUGCGAAAGCAUUCACCAAGGAUGUUUUCAUUA